GCUCGGGUGGUGAAAUGGCAUACACAGCAGACUUAAGAUCUGCCGCUGUUAAAAGCGUGUGGGUUCGAGUCCCACCCCGAGCA
Molecule: transfer RNA, 83 nt
Filed under: bacterium
Lineage: Bacteria
Description: tRNA-Leu
Rfam family: tRNA
About the family: Transfer RNA (tRNA) molecules are approximately 80 nucleotides in length. Their secondary structure includes four short double-helical elements and three loops (D, anti-codon, and T loops).
Source: RNAcentral